This 725-nucleotide ribosomal RNA is filed under the name uncultured bacterium. RNAcentral describes it as "bacterial SSU rRNA". It matches the Rfam family "Bacterial small subunit ribosomal RNA", at positions 771 to 1501 of the family's 1533-position model. The record is from RNAcentral.
AACAGGAUUAGAUACCCUGGUAGUCCACGCCCUAAACGAUGUCAACUAGUUGUCGGGUCUUAAUUGACUUGGUAACGCAGCUAACGCGUGAAGUUGACCGCCUGGGGAGUACGGUCGCAAGAUUAAAACUCAAAGGAAUUGACGGGGACCCGCACAAGCGGUGGAUGAUGUGGAUUAAUUCGAUGCAACGCGAAAAACCUUACCUACCCUUGACAUGUCAGGAACCCCGCUGAGAGGUGGGGGUGCUCGAAAGAGAGCCUGAACACAGGUGCUGCAUGGCUGUCGUCAGCUCGUGUCGUGAGAUGUUGGGUUAAGUCCCGCAACGAGCGCAACCCUUGUCAUUAGUUGCUACGAAAGGGCACUCUAAUGAGACUGCCGGUGACAAACCGGAGGAAGGUGGGGAUGACGUCAAGUCCUCAUGGCCCUUAUGGGUAGGGCUUCACACGUCAUACAAUGGUACAUACAGAGGGCCGCCAACCCGCGAGGGGGAGCUAAUCCCAGAAAGUGUAUCGUAGUCCGGAUUGUAGUCUGCAACUCGACUACAUGAAGUUGGAAUCGCUAGUAAUCGCGGAUCAGCAUGUCGCGGUGAAUACGUUCCCGGGUCUUGUACACACCGCCCGUCACACCAUGGGAGCGGGUUUUACCAGAAGUAGGUAGCUUAACCGCAAGGAGGGCGCUUACCACGGUAGGAUUCGUGACUGGGGUGAAGUCGUAACAAGGUAACC